UACGAAGGGGGCUAGCGUUGCUCGGAAUCACUGGGCGUAAAGGGUGCGUAGGCGGGGAUUUAAGUCAGGGGUGAAAUCCUGGAGCUCAACUCCAGAACUGCCUUUGAUACUGAAGAUCUUGAGUUCGGGAGAGGUGAGUGGAACUGCGAGUGUAGAGGUGAAAUUCGUAGAUAUUCGCAAGAACACCAGUGGCGAAGGCGGCUCACUGGCCCGAUACUGACGCUGAGGCACGAAAGCGUGGGGAGCAAACAGG
RNAcentral lists this ribosomal RNA (253 nucleotides) under uncultured bacterium. RNAcentral's name for it is "partial 16S ribosomal RNA". It matches the Rfam family "Bacterial small subunit ribosomal RNA", at positions 524 to 776 of the family's 1533-position model. The record is from RNAcentral.